GUACACUCCUGCGGGAGGCAGCAGUGGGGAAUAUUGGACAAUGGGCGCAAGCCUGAUCCAGCCAUGCCGCGUGAGUGAUGAAGGCCCUAGGGUUGUAAAGCUCUUUCACCGGAGAAGAUAAUGACGGUAUCCGGAGAAGAAGCCCCGGCUAACUUCGUGCCAGCAGCCGCGGUAAUACGAAGGGGGCUAGCGUUGUUCGGAAUUACUGGGCGUAAAGCGCACGUAGGCGGAUCGAUCAGUCAGGGGUGAAAUCCCAGGGCUCAACCCUGGAACUGCCUUUGAUACUGUCGAUCUGGAGUAUGGAAGAGGUGAGUGGAAUUCCGAGUGUAGAGUUGAAAUUCGUAGAUAUUCGGAGGAACACCAGUGGCGAAGGCGGCUCACUGGUCCAUUACUGACGCUGAGGUGCGAAAGCGUGGGGAGCAAACAGGAUUAGAAACCCGAGUAGUCCC
RNAcentral lists this ribosomal RNA (449 nucleotides) under uncultured organism. RNAcentral's name for it is "partial 16S ribosomal RNA". It matches the Rfam family "Bacterial small subunit ribosomal RNA", at positions 331 to 797 of the family's 1533-position model. The record is from RNAcentral.